AGGAUUCUUAUCCAGCUGAAUUACGGAUUUAAAGCGGGGAGAGGAGAGCGUUUGUUCCCUGGACAUCAUUUGAAGUCAUGCCCGUUCCAGAACAGCCUGCUGAAGUAGAGAACGCCACCAUGCUCAGUCCAGGACUGAAUGCUUCUAAUGGCGACGGAUCUGAGACUGAAACCACCUCUGCCAUUCUGGCCUCUGUGAAAGAGCAGCUGUUGGCUUUCACUUAAGACAUACUGUGUUUAAGAGGAUACUUGCAAAGACGAGGAUACGAGG
RNAcentral lists this long non-coding RNA (270 nucleotides) under Carassius auratus (goldfish). RNAcentral describes it as "lncRNA (ENSCARG00000034138.1)". The record is from RNAcentral. Lineage: Eukaryota; Metazoa; Chordata; Actinopteri; Cypriniformes; Cyprinidae.